Molecule: long non-coding RNA, 2290 nt
Filed under: Mytilus galloprovincialis (Mediterranean mussel)
Lineage: Eukaryota; Metazoa; Mollusca; Bivalvia; Mytilida; Mytilidae
Source: RNAcentral
CCUUCUAUACAGGAGAGUAUUAUAAUAUAUAACAAUAAUGUCCGGAUCGUAUCCGGUUAAGAUAUGUCAAUAUUACGGUAUGUGACAUCCCCCUUUUUCUAAAAGAUGAAAUGAAAAUGAAAUGAUUUAAUGAAUAAAUGAAUUUGAGUAUUACCCAGUUAAAAUUAAUACUGAAUGAUUUUGACUAGAAAUUAAUACUGACUUGGUUUUGACUAGAAAUUAAUACUGACUAGAUUAAUGUCUCUUUUCCAAUUUAACUUUAAAGUCUAUAUAUUGUCUUUUCUGAUAACUAACUAAAACUAGCUAAAUGCUUUCUAAAAUCUACUUGACAGUUCAACAAAAUUAUUUUACAUAGUCAUUUAAUUUGGUUGGCACUUUGACUGUUCUUCCAGAUCUUGUCACGGGUGACUUAGAUGGUUCAAUACUUUCAUUUUCCUCGGACGCAACGGUUUCACUGCGGUCUAAUGUUUGUGAAGUGUUACAGACAGUUGAAGUUUUACGGACGGUUGAAUUGUGAUUGUUCUUGAAAUGUUCAUUAUCAACUGUGUUUCCAUUGUAAGCUGUUGGUCUUAUAUGCCUACGGUUUCUUCUGUAACGCCUGCCAUCUGAUGUUUGUACUACAUAGGAGCGAGGAGUGUGGUGUUUUUGAAUUAUUUUCCCUGCUUUCCAUUUACCAUCUGUGUACAUUACAAUAGAGUCUCCUUGUUUUAGCUGUUUCAAUUCAGGUCCACAAUGUUUAUCAUAGUUGGUUUUAGCUUUCCUUUGGCGAAUUUCGAGUUUUUUGAUAAUUUCGCUGUUGUUGACGUUUUGUGGCAUCAAGUAGGUAGUGAGUGAUGUUUUUAAUCUCCUAUUUAGGAACAAUUGUGCUGGCGAAAGAUCAAUGUCCAACGGUGUGUUUCGAUAGUCUAAUAGAGCUUUGUGUGGAUCCUUCGAUUUCAUAAUUAGCUUCUUGAUGGUUUGAACGCUUCUUUCUGCUUGUCCGUUCGACUGAGCAUAGUGUGGGCUGCUCGUUGUAUGUUUAAAUCCAUAUUCGGUAGCAAAUCUUUUGAAUUCUAAUGAAGAAAACUGAGGACCAUUGUCGGAAACUAAUUCGUCAAUAUAUCCAAAUCUUGACAUUAGUCCUUUUAAGUAAUCAAUGGUGUUUUUGCUAGUUUCAUUGUCUAGUUUCAUAACUUCUGGCCACUUUGAGUAGUAGUCUACUACUAAUAGAUAAUGUUGUUUUUGGUAUUCAAAUAAGUCGGUAGCAACUUUUGACCAGGGUCUUUCCGGUAUUUCUGGCAUUAACAUCGGUUCCUUUGCGUUUAGAGACUGAUGUUGAGCGCAAAGUCCACAUGCUUUAACUUUGUCCUCGAUGUCUUGUCCCAUGCCGAUCCAGAAUAGUACAUCACGUGCACGGCUUUUGCACUUUACGAUUCCAAGAUGUGAUUCGUGUAUUUUGUCCAACAUUUCAUUUUGUAGCGCUUUUGGUACAAUUGCUUUGUUUGACUUGUACAAUAGUCCAUCGAUGACUGAAAGUUCAUCACGGUAAGUCCAAUAUGGCCUCAAAGAGUGUAUAAGUUCAGAUUUUUCAUUUGGCCAUCCAUUAAAUAUGACAUCUUGUAAUUCCUGAAGGUGUUCAUCAUUUGCAGUUUCCUUCUGAAAUUUAGCAUACAUUUCUGGUGCAAUUGGCAAGUAUGAUAUCAAAUGAAUGUCAUUCACGUGUAAGUCUGGUACUAAUACUUCCUUUGUUUCUUUUAGGAACGAUCUACUGAGAUGAUCUGCUAGAUACAUCUCUUUGCCUGGUUUAUAGUCAACUUUAAGAUCAUACUUUUCUAAUGCUAUUAAAAGUCUCUGUAAUCUAGGCGGUGUUUGGUGAAGCGGUUUCAGGAAGAUUGAUUGUAGCGGUUUAUGGUCUGUCUCUAUUUGAACUCGGCGACCAUAUACGUACUCAUGGAAUUUAUUACAUCCAUAAACAAUUGCAAGAGUUUCUUUCUCGAUCUGUGGAUAUCGUUGUUGUGUUUGAGUAAGAGCACGUGAGGCAUACGCAACUGGUUUCUGAUUUUGUAUCAGUACAGCUCCAAGUCCUUUUGAACUAGCAUCAACACUGAGUGUAAGCGGUUUGUUCGGAUUGUAGUAUUGCAGCAGUGGUGCAUUUGUUGCCAUUUCUUUUAACUUCUGAAAGCUAGUUUCUUGUUUUUCAUCCCAGUGCCAUGCUGUGUUUUUCUCUAAGAGUGUUCUUAACGGUGCACUGACUGUUGACAUGUUUGGCAUAAACUUGCCAAGAUACUGAAUAAAACCCAUGAAGGUUUGU